AAGCUGCCAGUUGAAGAG
This 18-nucleotide microRNA is filed under the name Gadus morhua (Atlantic cod). RNAcentral describes it as "gmo-miR-22b-3p". Its record names the gene gmo-miR-22b-3p. Lineage: Eukaryota; Metazoa; Chordata; Actinopteri; Gadiformes; Gadidae. The record is from miRBase by way of RNAcentral.